Molecule: long non-coding RNA, 465 nt
Filed under: Homo sapiens (human)
Lineage: Eukaryota; Metazoa; Chordata; Mammalia; Primates; Hominidae
Description: HSALNT0029522
Source: RNAcentral
GUUCUCUAAUGUGACACUGCUGAAGAAUCAAAUACCAAUGUCAGUUCAAUAGCACCCUGAUGAUUUACUCCUGGAUCCAACUGCACAUGUUCACCUCAUCAUCAUUCUACAAGGAGCAGAGGCCACAAGGAUGGUCAGGGCUGAAGGAGGAAAGGAAGCUGCCACCUCUGAGGUAAGCAAGAAAAAUGAGGAGAAUACCAUGGAAAUAGCCAAGAUCUAGAACAAUGUGCUUAAGAAGAGCUCUUCCUAAAGAAACCCAGAUAGUGUUCAGAUUUCAUCUAGUGAAGAUCUCAAGAAUGCCCAAGAAUUCUUGACUUUGUCUUUAGAAAAUCUAGAUGACCCCUCUCUGGACAAGAAGUCUGCUCUCAGUCUUCUUUCUCCAGUGGCCAGAUGUCUUCCUUAUUAAACCAUAUGGAGAACACACUCAGAAGAUUCUGGCUUUUCUUUAAUCCUCACAUAACCGCC